Molecule: long non-coding RNA, 284 nt
Filed under: Actinidia chinensis (golden kiwifruit)
Lineage: Eukaryota; Viridiplantae; Streptophyta; Magnoliopsida; Ericales; Actinidiaceae
Description: long non-coding RNA (ACHI_LNC000587)
Source: RNAcentral
UGACUUAAGAGAUUAAUAAACAAUAUUGACAAGGAUAUCGAUAAGUAUCAUAUAUAUUUAAAAUAUUAUUUUUUUCCUAUCAUAUAAUUUGUUUGUAUGCUCGGGAAAUUACAUACAUCGUCGUCCUGGUCGUGAUAAUGACGGCGGCAGCAGUGUGCAUGGGGUUGGUGAAGCAUCAAAUGCGGAUGGAGUUGCCAAGGUGAUUGAAAUUAGAUUGCAGAGAAAGAUAAACAACAAAACCACAAUUGAGACCCUCCGACCCAUUUCUUGCUCUACUUUUUUUA